GCCUUCGUGGUGUAGUGGUCAGCGCGCUCGACGCGUAACCGAGAGGUCCGUGGUUCGAUUCUCGGAGAAGGCG
Molecule: non-coding RNA, 73 nt
Organism: Stegodyphus mimosarum
Lineage: Eukaryota; Metazoa; Arthropoda; Arachnida; Araneae; Eresidae
Source: Rfam